AAAACCACCCCGUUUCAGCCCUCAGCCUGAGGGCUCAGAUUCAGGCUCAGGUCUAGGGUUUGGGGAAUAUUAAAGUUUACAAGUCCAAUCUUACUCCAUCCAUGCACACACAUGGAGAAGCCGGGAGAGGACGCGGCCAGAGACGGGCUCCUGUCCCUGAACCCCUGCUGGGGUGGAAGCAGGUGCACAAUGCUUCUUUGAGUAUCUCCGUAUCUGUGACUGAUAUCCAGAUGCAAGGCUUCUUCUGGGCAUCCCUGGGAAUGGGAGUGCAUAGACAUGCAUGGUCAAAUUACAGCACAGCCUCUACACUUUUACUGAAGAUGGAAACCUGUUUUCCAAAGUUUACUUGCCUAACAUGAUGUAACUACCAUGCAAAAAUAAAAUUAAGAAUAAAAAUUUAAAAAUGAAA
Molecule: long non-coding RNA, 409 nt
Organism: Piliocolobus tephrosceles (Ugandan red Colobus)
Lineage: Eukaryota; Metazoa; Chordata; Mammalia; Primates; Cercopithecidae
Exons: 2
Source: RefSeq, a predicted model, not a curated record